This 229-nucleotide ribosomal RNA is filed under the name Thalassiosira antarctica. RNAcentral's name for it is "partial Eukaryotic small subunit ribosomal RNA". It matches the Rfam family "Eukaryotic small subunit ribosomal RNA", at positions 957 to 1187 of the family's 1831-position model. The record is from RNAcentral. Lineage: Eukaryota; Bacillariophyta; Thalassiosirophyceae; Thalassiosirales; Thalassiosiraceae.
GCCAAGGAUGUUUUCAUUAAUCAGGAACGAAAGUUAGGGGAUCGAAGACGAUCAGAUACCGUCGUAGUCUUAACCAUAAACUAUGCCGACUAGGGAUCAGGCGAGCACAAUUGAAACUCGCUUGGCACCCCGAGGGAAACCAAAGUUUUUGGGUUCUGGGGGGAGUAUGGUCGCAAGGCUGAAACUUAAAGGAAUUGACGGAAGGGCACCACCAGGAGUGGAGCCUGCG